RNAcentral lists this transfer RNA (93 nucleotides) under Herbidospora sp. NBRC 101105. Its description in RNAcentral is "tRNA-Ser". Lineage: Bacteria; Bacillati; Actinomycetota; Actinomycetes; Streptosporangiales; Streptosporangiaceae. The record is from RNAcentral.
GGAGGGGCCAGCCGACAGACGGCGACGGCCGCGGUUUCGAAAACCGUCGGCGCCCGCAAGGGCGCGUGCGAGUUCGACCCUCGCCCCCUCCGC